Molecule: ribosomal RNA, 501 nt
Filed under: uncultured bacterium
Lineage: Bacteria
Description: partial 16S ribosomal RNA
Rfam family: Bacterial small subunit ribosomal RNA
Source: RNAcentral
AUUGAACGCUGGCGGCAUGCCUUACACAUGCAAGUCGAACGGGAGCACGGGUGCUUGCACCUGGUGGCGAGUGGCGAACGGGUGGGUAAUACAUCGGAACGUACCUUAUCGUGGGGGAUAACGCAGCGAAAGCUGUGCUAAUACCGCAUACGCCCUGAGGGGGAAAGCGGGGGAUCGCAAGACCUCGCGCGAUUAGAGCGGCCGAUGCCUGAUUAGCUAGUUGGUGGGGUAAAAGCCCACCAAGGCGACGAUCAGUAGCUGGUCUGAGAGGACGAGCAGCCACACUGGGACUGAGACACGGCGCAGACUCCUACGGGAGGCAGCAGUGGGAAAUUUUGGACAAUGGGGGCAACCCUGAUCCAGCAAUGCCGCGUGAGUGAAGAAGGCCUUCGGGUUGUAAAGCUCUUUUGUCAGGGAAGAAACACCGGCUCUAACACAGUCCGGGAAUGACGGUACCUGAAGAAUAAGCACCGGCUAACUACGUGCCAGCCGCCGCCGUAA